Molecule: small RNA, 271 nt
Filed under: Histoplasma ohiense
Lineage: Eukaryota; Fungi; Ascomycota; Eurotiomycetes; Onygenales; Ajellomycetaceae
Description: hypothetical lncRNA
Source: RNAcentral
ACCAAGAACUAUUGUGCCGUGCACGUAUAUAUAUACUUUCAAGACCAACUUCACCUCUGCGAUACACCUUGAAUGACAACAUGUUGCAAGGACGUUUGAACGAUAUAGCCGUUGCGCUUCACCGAAACCUUUCACCACACAACGUGAAGUACGGCAUAUUCAGUGGCUAUUAUGCCCUAUAAGAUGGAAUUGUUGAAUGCAAAAGUAGUGCUAUGGCCUGAAUGAAUUGUAGUUCUCUAGUGCAACAUAUGCCAUUCAAUUAUUCUAGCCC